Molecule: transfer RNA, 73 nt
Filed under: Ovis aries (sheep)
Lineage: Eukaryota; Metazoa; Chordata; Mammalia; Artiodactyla; Bovidae
Rfam family: tRNA
About the family: Transfer RNA (tRNA) molecules are approximately 80 nucleotides in length.
Source: Rfam by way of RNAcentral
UCCCUGGUGGUCCAGUGGUUAAGACUCUGCGCUUCCAAUGCAGGGCAUGUAGGUUUAAUCCCUGGUCGGGGAA